Molecule: ribosomal RNA, 368 nt
Filed under: uncultured bacterium
Lineage: Bacteria
Description: bacterial SSU rRNA
Rfam family: Bacterial small subunit ribosomal RNA
Source: RNAcentral
UACGUAGGUGGCAAGCGUUGUCCGGAAUUAUUGGGCGUAAAGCGUGCGUAGGCGGUCUAUUAAGUCUCAUUUGAAAGCCCAUGGCUUAACCAUGGAGGGUGAUGGGAAACUGGUAGACUUGAGUAAAGGAGAGGAAGGUGGAAUUCCACGUGUAGCGGUGAAAUGCGUAGAGAUGUGGAGGAACACCAGUGGCGAAGGCGGCCUUCUGGCCUUAGUCUGACGCUGAGGCACGAAAGCGUGGGUAGCAAACAGGAUUAGAUACCCUGGUAGUCCACGCCGUAAACGAUGAGUACUAAGUGUAGGGGAAACUCUGCGCUGAAGUUAACGCAUUAAGUACUCCGCCUGGGAAGUACGGUCGCAAGACUGAA